GGGAAAUGAGGAGUGGUACAGGCUCGCUAAUUAUGCGAGAGGGGUGCCCGCCUCAAUAAGCCUGUUACGACACUGGGGCAUCCCUGUGAUUUACCAUCUGAUCCU
Triticum urartu is the source of this 105-nucleotide non-coding RNA. Lineage: Eukaryota; Viridiplantae; Streptophyta; Magnoliopsida; Poales; Poaceae. The record is from Rfam.